Long non-coding RNA from Siniperca chuatsi (mandarin fish), 631 nucleotides. RefSeq lists it as uncharacterized. The transcript is spliced from 3 exons. NCBI's taxonomy places the organism in Eukaryota, Metazoa, Chordata, Actinopteri, Centrarchiformes, Sinipercidae. The record is from RefSeq and is a predicted model, not a curated record.
AGUCAGGUUACGAGGUUUUUGGAGAGAAACCACAUCAGAUGUAAUGAAUCAAGCUCGGUUUGGACAUUUGACACUGACUCUACAACAGUGCAUUCCAAAUGACCUAAACAACGCUGGGCAAAGUAGGCAACUGUCACAGGGCCCAGACUCCAGGGGGCCCAGAAGCCCUUCACUUAAACAUCCAUUCAUCAGACAGCCUGCAUUUUCUCCAGCGGAGCCUGUGGAGCAGCCAGAGAGGCCGGCAGGACUGUGAUCUGCUAUGCACAAAAACGUGAGGCAGAGGAAUGGGAAGGGAAAGGAGAGAAGAGAGGAGCUGUGUCAGAGCUGUCUGCGCGGAGGCCUUCAACACUGUCAACAACACAGCGCUCUGAUGGAACCAGGCCGACUGCCGCCGCCGCUGCUGCUGCUGACGGAGCUGAGGCUGAUACCCAGGUUGACACUGACCCAAGCUGUCAGGACCUCCCAAGGGGUGGCCCGCUGGGUCAGAACCACCAAUCAGGGGCUAACAAGUCCUGGAGAGGCAGAGGAAAAAAUCAAAACCAGACCCUGCACUGAGCUGAGAACUGCUCUCUUUAGCAUCAACUCCAAUUCACUCGGUCUUCAAAGGAAGUCUGGGAUGAUAAUAACUGCC